RNAcentral lists this long non-coding RNA (284 nucleotides) under Setaria viridis. RNAcentral's name for it is "long non-coding RNA (SVIR_LNC011076)". The record is from RNAcentral. Lineage: Eukaryota; Viridiplantae; Streptophyta; Magnoliopsida; Poales; Poaceae.
GAUAAAGACUGCAGCAAACGUAAAGUUAAGAAACUGACGAUGGUGUGAAUGCAAAGGAGCACCACCAAACACAAGUUGUUGGUUUUUCUUCAACUUUUUUUUUUCAGUUCCUGAAUUCUGAGGGCUACUACCUAACACGAGUUGAGAAACUGCAGGCGGGGCCAGGUCAGGGAGGCUCUAUCCUUUCGGGGUCAGUUUUAAUUGUGCAGCCCCGACGUCGCGUUCGUCGUCUCCGGAUUAGCAGAUUUUUGACGUUUUGCUUUUUCUCUCCCCAUGCCUCUCUU